ACAGUCCCACUUCACCUGGAUAUAGCCCGACUUCUCCCGGUUAUAGUCCCACUUCACCAACCUACAGCCCCAGUUCUCCUGGCUAUAGCCCAACAAGCCCUGCUUAUUCUCCUACAAGUCCUUCCUAUUCUCCCACCUCUCCUAGCUACAGCCCAACAUCUCCAAGCUAUAGCCCAACGUCCCCGAGCUACAGCCCGACAUCACCGAGCUACAGCCCCACUUCUCCGAGUUACAGCCCGACAUCGCCUGCUUAUAGCCCGACCUCGCCCGCGUAUAGCCCGACUUCACCUGCAUACAGCCCGACCUCUCCUUCUUACAGCCCAACAUCACCAUCUUACAGCCCAACAUCACCUUCUUACAGUCCUACUUCACCCUCCUACAGUCCCACUUCACCUUCUUACAGUCCUACUUCACCCGCAUACAGCCCUACGUCUCCUGGCUACAGCCCAACUUCACCAAGCUACAGCCCAACAUCACCUAGUUACGGUCCUACGUCUCCAAGCUACAACCCUCAGUCUGCUAAAUACAGCCCAUCUCUGGCUUACUCUCCUAGCAAUGCAAGACUAUCGCCAGCUAGCCCCUACAGUCCUACAUCUCCA
Molecule: long non-coding RNA, 599 nt
Filed under: Eutrema salsugineum
Lineage: Eukaryota; Viridiplantae; Streptophyta; Magnoliopsida; Brassicales; Brassicaceae
Description: long non-coding RNA (ESAL_LNC002027)
Source: RNAcentral